This 203-nucleotide ribosomal RNA is filed under the name Escherichia sp. enrichment culture clone AVCTGRB2A. RNAcentral describes it as "partial 16S ribosomal RNA". It matches the Rfam family "Bacterial small subunit ribosomal RNA", at positions 331 to 526 of the family's 1533-position model. The record is from RNAcentral. Lineage: Bacteria; Pseudomonadati; Pseudomonadota; Gammaproteobacteria; Enterobacterales; Enterobacteriaceae.
ACGGACUCCUACGGGAGGCAGCAGUGGGGAAUAUUGCACAAUGGGCGCAAGCCUGAUGCAGCCAUGCCGCGUGUAUGAAGAAGGCCUUCGGGUUGUAAAGUACUUUCAGCGGGGAGGAAGGGAGUAAAGUUAAUACCUUUGCUCAUUGACGUUACCCGCAGAAGAAGCACCGGCUAACUCCGUGCCAGCAGCCGCGGAAUAAU